CUGGAAACACAUUCCUCUUUACAACAAUAACAUUUUCUUUUUCCUGCGGAACAACUGGUUUUCUCCUCAAGUACAGGAUCCUUAUCAGCAAGGUGAGCAUCUGCCCCAAGUUUUCCAACCAGCAAUCUAUAGGUUUCAGCAUUCGACUUAUUUACUGUAGCAAAUGAGAAUAGGCAGCUAUCACACAUCCCAUGAACCGCAACGACUAGUUUGCUCCUUGAGUAAAGGAUACUUAUCAGCAAUGUGAGGAUCUGCCCCGAGUUUUCCAACUAGCAAUCUAUAGGUUUCAGCAUUCGACUUAUUUACUGUAGCAAACGAGAAAAGGCAACUCUCACACAUCCCAUGAACAUCGACAAGGUUAUCAUGAGAAUGACAAAUAAUUAAUGAAGAUAUCUUCAACUUAUGAUUGAGGCAUAUUAAAUCCCA
This 426-nucleotide long non-coding RNA is filed under the name Nicotiana benthamiana. RNAcentral's name for it is "long non-coding RNA (NBEN_LNC006449)". Lineage: Eukaryota; Viridiplantae; Streptophyta; Magnoliopsida; Solanales; Solanaceae. The record is from RNAcentral.